RNAcentral lists this ribosomal RNA (502 nucleotides) under uncultured bacterium. RNAcentral describes it as "partial 16S ribosomal RNA". It matches the Rfam family "Bacterial small subunit ribosomal RNA", at positions 30 to 523 of the family's 1533-position model. The record is from RNAcentral.
AUUGAACGCUGGCGGCAUGCCUUACACAUGCAAGUCGAACGGGAGCAUAGGAGCUUGCUCCUGAUGGCGAGUGGCGAACGGGUGAGUAAUAUAUCGGAACGUGCCCUAGAGUGGGGGAUAACUAGUCGAAGGACUAGCUAAUACCGCAUACGAUCUACGGAUGAAAGUGGGGGAUCGCAAGACCUCAUGCUCCUGGAGCGGCCGAUAUCUGAUUAGCUAGUUGGUGGGGUAAAAGCCUACCAAGGCAACGAUCAGUAGCUGGUCUGAGAGGACGACCAGCCACACUGGGACUGAGACACGGCCCAGACUCCUACGGGAGGCAGCAGUGGGGAAUUUUGGACAAUGGGGGCAACCCUGAUCCAGCAAUGCCGCGUGAGUGAAGAAGGCCUUCGGGUUGUAAAGCUCUUUUGUCAGGGAAGAAACGGUAGUAGCGAAUAACUAUUACUAAUGACGGUACCUGAAGAAUAAGCACCGGCUAACUACGUGCCAGCAGCCGCCGUAA